AACUAACGCUGGCGGCGUGCCUAACACAUGCAAGUCGUACGAGAAAGCCGGCUUCGGCUGGUGAGUAAAGUGGCGCACGGGUGAGUAACGCGUGGAUAAUCUGCCCUUAAGUGUGGAAUAACGUACCGAAAGGUGCGCUAAUACCGCAUAAUGCCUGGCAACACAAGUUGUCCGGCCAAAGAAGGCCUCUGUUUACAAGCUUUCGCUUCAGGAUGAGUCCGCGUACCAUUAGCUUGUUGGUGGGGUAAUGGCCUACCAAGGCUGCGAUGGUUAGCUGGUCUGAGAGGAUGAUCAGCCACACUGGAACUGAGACACGGUCCAGACUCCUACGGGAGGCAGCAGUGAGGAAUAUUGCGCAAUGGGGGCAACCCUGACGCAGCAACGCCGCGUGAGUGAGGAAGGCCUUCGGGUCGUAAAGCUCUGUCAGAUGGGAGAAAUGGAUGGGGGCGUAAUAUCGCCAUCCUUGACGGUACCAUCAGAGG
RNAcentral lists this ribosomal RNA (482 nucleotides) under uncultured bacterium. RNAcentral describes it as "bacterial SSU rRNA". It matches the Rfam family "Bacterial small subunit ribosomal RNA", at positions 29 to 487 of the family's 1533-position model. The record is from RNAcentral.